AAGCCUGAGCAUCGAUGCCGCGUGAUUAUGAAGGUCUAGGAUUGUAAAUUCUUCACCGGGACGAUAAUGCGGUACCCGUAAUAAGCCCGGCUAACUCGGCCAGCAGCCUCGGUAAUUCGAAGGGGCUAGCGUUGCUCGAAUUAUUGGGCGUAAAGGCGCGUAGCGGAUCGUUAAGUCAGAGGUGAAAUCCCAGGGCUC
This 198-nucleotide ribosomal RNA is filed under the name uncultured bacterium. RNAcentral describes it as "partial 16S ribosomal RNA". It matches the Rfam family "Bacterial small subunit ribosomal RNA", at positions 379 to 610 of the family's 1533-position model. The record is from RNAcentral.